This 254-nucleotide ribosomal RNA is filed under the name uncultured bacterium. RNAcentral's name for it is "partial 16S ribosomal RNA". It matches the Rfam family "Bacterial small subunit ribosomal RNA", at positions 524 to 776 of the family's 1533-position model. The record is from RNAcentral.
UACGUAGGAGACGAGCGUUGUCCGGAAUUACUGGGCGUAAAGCGCGUGUAGGCGGAUGGGCAAGUCUGCUGUGAAAGCUCCUGGCUUAACCGGGAGUGGUCGGUGGAAACUGCCAAUCUGGAGGACGGUAGAGGUAGGUAGAAUUCCCGGUGUAGUGGUGAAAUGCGUAGAGAUCGGGAGGAAUACCUGUGGCGAAGGCGGCCUACUGGGCCGGACCUGACGCUGAGACGCGAAGGCGUGGGGAGGCGAACGGG